CGCACGGGUGAGUAACACGUAUCCAACCUGCCGUCUACUCUUGGCCAGCCUCCUGAAAGGAAGAUUAAUCCAGGAUGGCAUCAUGAGUUCACAUGUCCGCAUGAUUAAAGGUAUUUUCCGGUAGACGAUGGGGAUGCGUUCCAUUAGAUAGUAGGCGGGGUAACGGCCCACCUAGUCAACGAUGGAUAGGGGUUCUGAGAGGAAGGUCCCCCACAUUGGAACUGAGACACGGUCCAA
This 237-nucleotide ribosomal RNA is filed under the name uncultured bacterium. RNAcentral's name for it is "partial 16S ribosomal RNA". It matches the Rfam family "Bacterial small subunit ribosomal RNA", at positions 99 to 334 of the family's 1533-position model. The record is from RNAcentral.